CAAUGGGGCGCAGCCUGAUGGAGCACACCGCGUGAGUGAAGAAGGGUUUCGGCUCGUAAAGCUCUGUUGUUAAAGAAGAACACGUAUGAGAGUAACUGUUCAUACGUUGACGGUAUUUAACCAGAAAGUCACGGCUAACUACGUGCCAGCAGCCGCGGUAAUACGUAGGUGGCAAGCGUUAUCCGGAUUUAUUGGGCGUAAAGAGAGUGCAGGCGGUUUUCUAAGUCUGAUGUGAAAGCCUUCGGCUUAACCGGAGAAGUGCAUCGGAAACUGGAUAACUUGAGUGCAGAAGAGGGUAGUGGAACUCCAUGUGUAGCGGUGGAAUGCGUAGAUAUAUGGAAGAACACCAGUGGCGAAGGCGGCUACCUGGUCUGCAACUGACGCUGAGACUCGAAAGCAUGGGUAGCGAACAGGAUUAGAUACCCUGGUAGUCCAUGCCGUAAACGAUGAGUGCUAGGUGUUGGAGGGUUUCCGCCCUUCAGUGCCGGAGCUAACGCAUUAAGCACUCCGCCUGGGGAGUACGACCGCAAGGUUGAAA
RNAcentral lists this ribosomal RNA (538 nucleotides) under Limosilactobacillus fermentum. RNAcentral's name for it is "bacterial SSU rRNA". It matches the Rfam family "Bacterial small subunit ribosomal RNA", at positions 369 to 899 of the family's 1533-position model. Lineage: Bacteria; Bacillati; Bacillota; Bacilli; Lactobacillales; Lactobacillaceae. The record is from RNAcentral.